CACGACACGUUUGAUGUGUGUUUCGACGGCGUUUGGAGCUGAGGAGAGCUCGUGAUGCAGCAUUACUCUCUUCAGCAGGAGAACCAGCUGCAUUUCAGACAACAGUCCUGCAAGACGUUAAAUUCCUGGGUGGAUCUCGGCAGAAUAAGAGUCGGACCUAGUCGAUCACUUCAUCCAAAAGAGCCGGACCAAACUGUCCGAAGAGAGAAACAGAGAGAAUGAUCCCCAGUAAGGAAUCAUUACUGGGAAACUCAGGU
Molecule: long non-coding RNA, 257 nt
Filed under: Sinocyclocheilus anshuiensis
Lineage: Eukaryota; Metazoa; Chordata; Actinopteri; Cypriniformes; Cyprinidae
Description: lncRNA (ENSSANG00000012409.1)
Source: RNAcentral